UAACGCGAAGAACCUUACCAAGGCUUGACAUAUACCGGAAAGCAUCAGAGAUGAUGCCCCCCUUGUGGUCGGUAUACAGGUGGUGCAUGGCUGUCGUCAGCUCGUGUCGUGAGAUGUUGGGUUAAGUCCCGCAACGAGCGCAACCCUUGUUCUGUGUUGCCAGCAUGCCCUUCGGGGUGAUGGGGACUCACAGGAGACUGCCGGGGUCAACUCGGAGGAAGGUGGGGACGACGUCAAGUCAUCAUGCCCCUUAUGUCUUGGGCUGCACACGUGCUACAAUGGCCGGUACAAUGAGCUGCGAUGCCGCGAGGCGGAGCGAAUCUCAAAAAGCCGGUCUCAGUUCGGAUUGGGGUCUGCAACUCGACCCCAUGAAGUCGGAGUUGCUAGUAAUCGCAGAUCAGCAUUGCUGCGGUGAAUACGUUCCCGGGUCUUGUACACACCGA
Molecule: ribosomal RNA, 443 nt
Filed under: uncultured bacterium
Lineage: Bacteria
Description: bacterial SSU rRNA
Rfam family: Bacterial small subunit ribosomal RNA
Source: RNAcentral